CCUACGGGAGGCAGCAGUAAGGAAUAUUGGGCAAUGGAGGCAACUCUGACCCAGCCAUGCCGCGUGAAGGAUGAAGGCCCUAUGGGUUGUAAACUUCUUUUGUACGGGAAUAAACCUGGUUACGUGUAACCAGUUGAAUGUACCGUAAGAAUAAGCACCGGCUAACUCCGUGCCAGCAGCCGCGGUAAUACGGAGGGUGCAAGCGUUAUCCGGAUUUAUUGGGUUUAAAGGGAGCGUAGGCGGGAUUGUAAGUCAGUGGUGAAAGCCCGUAGCUCAACUACGGAACUGCCAUUGAUACUGCAGACCUAGAGUACACUUGAAGUGGGCGGAAUGUGUCAUGUAGCGGUGAAAUGCUUAGAUAUGACACAGAACACCAAUUGCGAAGGCAGCUCACUAAAUUGUAACUGACGCUGAGGCUCGAUAGCGUGGGGAUCAAACAGGAUUAGAUACCCUGGUAGUCCACGCCGUAAACGAUGAUUACUCGAUGUUGGCGAUACACUGUCAGCGUCUGAGCGAAAGCAUUAAGUAAUCCACCUGGGGAGUACGGUCGCAAGACUGAAACUCAAAGGAAUUAGACGGCUGAGACUACCCGAAGGCACACAGGGGANAGGG
RNAcentral lists this ribosomal RNA (612 nucleotides) under uncultured bacterium. Its description in RNAcentral is "bacterial SSU rRNA". It matches the Rfam family "Bacterial small subunit ribosomal RNA", at positions 338 to 951 of the family's 1533-position model. The record is from RNAcentral.